GUACGCAAAUAAUCACUGUCGCAAAGGUAAUGGUUUAUCAACGUUAGACAUUAGCUGCUUUUUCAACGAAUUUCAACUAUUUGAAAAACAACACUUAUUCAACGUUAUUUCAACGUUGGUUGAAAAUGUGCUAAUUAAAAAACGUUGAAAAAGUGUUACUUUGCCAACGUUAAUAAAACGUUGUUUUGACAAUGUUGAGGAAGUGGCACAUUGAAAAUUAUUGUCUCAAUAACUAGCCAUAACAAAAAUAAUUUGCCGUAAUGGAAAGGCAAAGAAAACUUGAUAGAAUGCAUGCAUAUGAUAAAGAGGUAUGUGCAGGAUUUAAUUUCAUGACUAAAGAGGACUCUGAAGAAGAAUGUAAGUAAUUAUGUUUGUGAAUAAUUUUGUUUCUCUUCGGAUUUAACUUUUCUUUGUUUUUUAUAUUAACUAUUGGUCAAAGAUGAUUUCAAUAAUACUGUCUAAAUUUUUUGGUUUUAACUGGAAUGAUUUGGUUUUAACUGGUUUGCAUCUUAUGAACGAAGUACAUAAUAUGAUUUAAAUUGAUGAUUUAUAGUUACACCUAUUGAAAUUCUGUAUCUCAAUAAUAUCCUGGCUUAUCGAUACGAUAUCCUGUAAAUCCACUCACACACAAAUUUUACUCACAUACGUAAAUCCUGUAAAUUCACUCACACACAUAAAUCUUAAAAAAGAUGUUUAUAUUUUUAUCAAUGAAUUGUAAAUUUUAUAUAAAUAAAUUGUAUAUUUUUUAUGUUUUUCAUUGUAUAUUACUAUUUGUAUUAAAAAUCGA
Long non-coding RNA from Hydra vulgaris (swiftwater hydra), 787 nucleotides. RefSeq lists it as uncharacterized. The record is from RefSeq and is a predicted model, not a curated record. NCBI's taxonomy places the organism in Eukaryota, Metazoa, Cnidaria, Hydrozoa, Anthoathecata, Hydridae.